GAUGAACGCUGGCGGCGUGCCUAACACAUGCAAGUCGAGCGGAGAAUUGUUGCCUGCACCAAUUCUUAGCGGCGGACGGGUGAGUAACACGUGGGUAACCUGCCCUAAACAAAGGGAUAACAAUGAGAAAUCAUUGCUAAUACCGUAUAAGCUUACACUAUCGCAUGAUAGAGUAAGAAAAGAUUUAUCGGUUUAGGAGGGGCCCGCGUCUGAUUAGCUAGUUGGAGAGGUAACGGCUCACCAAGGCGACGAUCAGUAGCCGACCUGAGAGGGUGAUCGGCCACAUUGGGACUGAGACACGGCCCAAACUCCUACGGGAGGCAGCAGUGGGGAAUAUUGCACAAUGGAGGAAACUCUGAUGCAGCAACGCCGCGUGAAGGAAGAAGGUUUUCGGAUCGUAAACUUCUAUCUACAGGGAAGAAAAAAAUGACGGUACCUGAGGAAGAAGCCCCGGCUAACUACGUG
RNAcentral lists this ribosomal RNA (465 nucleotides) under uncultured bacterium. Its description in RNAcentral is "partial 16S ribosomal RNA". It matches the Rfam family "Bacterial small subunit ribosomal RNA", at positions 28 to 507 of the family's 1533-position model. The record is from RNAcentral.